This 442-nucleotide ribosomal RNA is filed under the name uncultured bacterium. RNAcentral's name for it is "partial 16S ribosomal RNA". It matches the Rfam family "Bacterial small subunit ribosomal RNA", at positions 338 to 795 of the family's 1533-position model. The record is from RNAcentral.
CCUACGGGAGGCAGCAGUGGGGAAUAUUGGGCAAUGGGCGCAAGCCUGACCCAGCAACGCCGCGUGAAGGAAGAAGGCUGUCGGGGUGUAAACUUCUGUUAAGAGGGAAGAGCAGAAGACGGUACCUCUUGAAUAAGCCACGGCUAACUACUUGCCAGCAGCCGCGGUAAUACGUAGUUGGCAAGCGUUGUCCGGAUUUACUGGGUGUAAAGGGCGUGUAGCCGGGCUGACAAGCCAGAUGUCAAAUUCCGGGGCUCAACCCCGGACCUGCAUUUGAAACUGUUGGUCUUGAGUAUCGGAGAGGCAGGCGGAAUUCCUAGUGUAGCGGUGAAAUGCGUAGAUAUUAGGAGGAACACCAGUGGCGAAGGCGGCCUGCUGGACGACAACUGACGGUGAGGCGCGAAAGCGUGGGGAGCAAACAGGAUUAGAUACCCUUGUAGUC